UACGGCAACAGAAACUGUUGUGAUGGUUUGU
RNAcentral lists this non-coding RNA (31 nucleotides) under Mus musculus (house mouse). Lineage: Eukaryota; Metazoa; Chordata; Mammalia; Rodentia; Muridae. The record is from RNAcentral.